RNAcentral lists this unclassified non-coding RNA (2262 nucleotides) under Amphibalanus amphitrite. RNAcentral describes it as "u-scoloptoxin(19)-Tl1a-like, transcript variant X7". The record is from RNAcentral. Lineage: Eukaryota; Metazoa; Arthropoda; Thecostraca; Balanomorpha; Balanidae.
GCGCAGUAGCGUUACGCCCGGUCAGCCUAUGGUCGCAGUGGGGUGAGCGCCGGCCGCGGGGCCCGGAAGGUGGGGAAAUCCCGUCCCGGUGCCAGCGCCGGCCGUGUCUGAUUCCGGGUCCAGGGACGCUGAGCGUCAGUCGUCAGACUCAACAGAGCAGCAGCCGACUUCGUGACCGCGACGUUUCUUGGUCUUCUGUGCAGUGUGUCGCCUUAGCAAGCCAUCAGGGGUCAGAUCGAUCAGCGUGUCAGCAGGUCAGCGCCUCAGAUCAUCGAAGAUGUCAACCGACACUGGGAAAAAUCACCGAAGGCCUCUCCCAUUGCUCUGCAGAAAUUACAACAAAAAAUGUGGAUGUUCCCGAGAAAGUUGUGAAGAUUUGCACUUGUGCUAUUACUUUCUCAUCAGGGAAUGCUUAAACAAGGAGUGCUCCCGGUCGCACACUUUGGAAACACCCAGAAAUAUCAUGACCCUUGAGAACUUGGGUUUUAAGGGCAAGGAUGAUCUCGAUCUGGUGUUAACCAGCAUGCAGCGCAAAAUGCGCGGGGUGCGUAUCAACUUGUGCUACACAUACAACGCGAACGAGUGUGCGUCCAGCGGAUGCCGCCGGUUACACCUGUGCUACCCAUAUGUGCUCGGUAGGUGCACGGAGGACGAGUGUGAGCUGAGCCACAGCGUCACCGAUGGAGAGCACAACCUCAAGGUGCUCCGAGAGGCCGACAUGGCCAACGAGCCCGCCUCCUUGGUGGUGCAGACACUGGCCGAGGUUCUGACCGAGUGGCCUCUUCGGCUUACUAUUUGUCGCGACUUUUGGCGCAAUCCAGGUGGAUGUGAAGGGCGCUGCCGUCGACUGCAUGCGUGUCCUUCGUACAUUAAAGGGAAUUGCUGGUACGGGGAACGUUGCUACAAAAGGCACAACUUGUGCGAUCCGCACAACCAGCGUGUGCUGGCGUUUUUUGGCUGCACGGAGGCCGAGGCGCUGGCCCAGUUUGCCGCCCGGAACAUGGCUGCCGCUGAGUAUGCGGGAGGCGGCAGUACUGCUGAAGCAGAACACUGUGGAGAGCUGGGAGCGGCAGUGGACGCCAGAGUCCGGAAGGAGCAGUCCGAUGGGCUCUCAGAUGAGCAGAAACUGAUCGAAUAUCUGCAGCAGUUUCGGCUUCGGAAGGUCCAGCGUGAACAGGAGCGCCAAAAACGCCGAGAGCGGCUUCAGCACAUAGAGAGGCAGAUCGAGCGCCAGGGAGAGGGGGACACCGACCCAGGGCACUAUUAUACGAGUGCUAGCUCUCUGCAACAGGAGCCCAGAACAUGCAAGGAGAAGCUCAAACUUCAAGUCAAGCAGUUGCUCGAAGAGCAAGAACAACAUGUCCGAGAUCUGGCUCGAUUCAAGAAGCUCUUCAGCACACAGCUGGAGUGCAUGAAGUGUGUCGUCUGCAAAGGCGUGUUCAAACGUCCCGUCACUCUGAGCUGCUCUCACACGUUUUGUGAGGCGUGUGUCAGUGUGGAGAGUCGGCGACGACAGUCAGAGGCCUGUCCGCUCUGCUUCCAGCCGGUGUAUGCCACGACGCGCUGCUCAGUUCUCGACAAGAUACUCGUCUCUCUGGCGGAUAUACCGCUGUAGAGAAGACAGGGGACGUUCAGCGACUGCUGGUGAGCUCACGUCUUCUCGCCAUUGCCUUUGAAAACGGAGCGGGGUGCCUUACAUGCUGGAGGAGGAAGUCCAAGGCAGUGGCCAGGGUGAACUUCGUAAAUCUGGAGGUUGGACCAAGGAGUUGGACUAUAUACGUCCAGACCAUCAUUGCGUUUCCAUUUUACUGUUUCGCUCGUUGCCAAAGGCGCUGAGGUCUUUCGCUGCAGCUGAGAAGAGAAAUCUGGCAAGUAACUAUAGACAACACAGAGAUCAUAGAACAUGGUAUUUGUAAUUGUACUAAGAUUAUACUCGUAUCUGGCCUGUUGUGUACUAUUAUGACGAAGUAAAAGUUUUUGUUGUUUCAUUUCUUCGAUUAUGUCUACUGAUCAGUUCUCAGUUACAUUCAGCCUGCAUGAUGAACACAAGCUACGGAAACGGAGUCAUUUGCUAUGCGUUUUAUUGCUGUUGCCUUGCUUAUGCGCAGUUCGUUACAUUAUGUUAGCAUUAGGUAUUCGUUACCUUUGCAUUGGUGCACCUCUGUUAUGUGUCGAGCUAAGCUACUUAGUUCGCCAUUGUAACCGAUUAUGUAUACAUUACGCCGUUAAAAUAUAGCGUCCUACCCUACUGCAUGUCAUUAA